CAAAAGCAAGCCUAUGGAUUGGAUACUGUGUCGAAUUAGUCAACGGAAUAAGAAACUCUCUCCAUCUACUUCGAACCCAUUCACCGCUUUUGUCUAUCGUUUUUUUUUUUAAUCGAUGGUGUUAUUUUCAGUUAUUUUGCCAUAAGAGCCUUCUAUACUUUUGGGGUUAAAUCACCGUAGCACUCUCCCUUUGAUGUUCGGUUCUAUCGUGACGGAAUCAAAGGGAAAAACCUUAAAUCCUAGCUGUUCACGGGAAUUAUACAGGUAAUUAUUCUUCUAUUUUGAUGUUGGGAGCCUCUUAUUGAAGUAUUUCAACUAUAAAUCAAUCCUAGUUUUUUUUUUUUUUUUUUUUUUUUGGUUUUCUGUUUACAUGGCAAAGAUAUUAAAAAAGGACAUUUUGAUUAUAAUUAUAUUAUGAUAUGAAUACAGGAAGAUCAAGGUUAAAGUGGAGAGAUAUGUUCCAAUUAGAUUGUACUGUUAUAAAUUGUAGAAUGAACGAGGAGAGCAGGGCAAAUUUCUUCCAGCCUUUAAUAUCUAUUUGAUAUUAUCAAAAGUUUCAAUUAUAAACACUUGUUUACAUCUUGUUUCCACUCCAGAAAUUAGCAAAUUGUAUUGUUAGGGUUUUCUUUCUGUCCAUAGUCGUGUUUCAUCUCAGUAAUUAUUCUGUAAUUGUGUGCGUAAAACAAG
RNAcentral lists this long non-coding RNA (687 nucleotides) under Lactuca sativa (garden lettuce). RNAcentral describes it as "long non-coding RNA (LSAT_LNC002352)". Lineage: Eukaryota; Viridiplantae; Streptophyta; Magnoliopsida; Asterales; Asteraceae. The record is from RNAcentral.